RNAcentral lists this ribosomal RNA (621 nucleotides) under uncultured Bacteroidota bacterium. Its description in RNAcentral is "bacterial SSU rRNA". It matches the Rfam family "Bacterial small subunit ribosomal RNA", at positions 355 to 975 of the family's 1533-position model. The record is from RNAcentral. Lineage: Bacteria; Pseudomonadati; Bacteroidota.
UAAGGAAUAUUGGUCAAUGGACGAAAGUCUGAACCAGCCAUGCCGCGUGCAGGAUGACUGCCCUAUGGGUUGUAAACUGCUUUUAUAUAGGAAGAAAAACUUUCUCGUGAGAAAGCUUGACGGUACUAUAAGAAUAAGGAUCGGCUAACUCCGCGCCAGCAGCCGCGGUAAUACGGAGGAUCCAAGCGUUAUCCGGAAUUAUUGGGUUUAAAGAGUGCGUAGGUGGUUUAUUAAGUCAGUGGUGAAAUCCUGCAGCUCAACUGUAGAACUGCCAUUGAUACUGGUAAACUUGAGUUUGGUUUAGGUAAGCGGAAUUUAUGAUGUAGCGGUGAAAUGCAUAGAUAUCAUAAGGAACACCAAUAGCGAAGGCAGCUUACUGGACCACAACUGACACUGAGGCACGAAAGCGUGGGUAGCGAACAGGAUUAGAUACCCUGGUAGUCCACGCCGUAAACGAUGGUCACUAGCUGUUCGGACUUUAUGUCUGAGUGGCUAAGCGAAAGUGAUAAGUGACCCACCUGGGGAGUACGUUCGCAAGAAUGAAACUCAAAGGAAUUGACGGGGGCCCGCACAAGCGGUGGAGCAUGUGGUUUAAUUCGAUGAUACGCGAGGAACCUUACC